RNAcentral lists this ribosomal RNA (462 nucleotides) under uncultured bacterium. Its description in RNAcentral is "partial 16S ribosomal RNA". It matches the Rfam family "Bacterial small subunit ribosomal RNA", at positions 28 to 507 of the family's 1533-position model. The record is from RNAcentral.
GACGAACGCUGGCGGCGUGCUUAACACAUGCAAGUCGAACGGAAAGGCCCUUCGGGUUACUCGAUUGGGGAACGGGUGGGUGACACGUGGAUGAGCUGCCCUGCACCUUGUGAUACGGCUGGGAAACUGGGUCUAAUACCGAAUAGGACCACGAUCUUCUUGGUGGGUGGGGGCAAGCUUUUGCGGCGGUGGUUGGGCCCGCGGCCUAUGAGUUUGUUGGUGGGUUAAUGGCCUACGAAGGCGCCGACGGGUAGCCGGCCUGAGAGUGUGAGCGGGCACACUGGGACUGAGAGACGGACCAGAAUGGUACGGGAGGCAGUAGGGGGGAAUAUUGCACAAUGGGCGCAAGCCUGAUGCAGAGACGCUGCGUGAGGGAUGACGGCCUUCGGGUUGUAAACCUCUUUCAAUAGGGACGAAGCGAAAGUGACGGUACCUAUAGAAGAAGCACCGGCCAACUACGUG